RNAcentral lists this long non-coding RNA (257 nucleotides) under Homo sapiens (human). RNAcentral's name for it is "HSALNT0094104". The record is from RNAcentral. Lineage: Eukaryota; Metazoa; Chordata; Mammalia; Primates; Hominidae.
CAUGCCGGCUGAUACACACGCCCGGAGGAGGUGCGGCCGGCGGGGGACAGGGAAAGAGAUCACAGCGAAGACCCAGAAGAAACAAAAGGCAAGCGAAUGUAAGAGCUUCACCACCUUCCCACUCCAGGACGGUGGACAACAAGAGGUUUGAAAGCUGUGAUGUCCUCACUGUCUUCCGUCCCUCUCACGGAAUGAAAAGUCGUUUUUGCCAGAAUAUUAUACCUGCAAGAUCUCACGGGGAGGAGACUGCAGCCCAC